Anguilla rostrata (American eel) is the source of this 1385-nucleotide long non-coding RNA. RefSeq lists it as uncharacterized. Lineage: Eukaryota; Metazoa; Chordata; Actinopteri; Anguilliformes; Anguillidae. The record is from RefSeq and is a predicted model, not a curated record. The transcript has 3 exons.
GUAUCAGGGAAUGAUACGAAUUUAUCCGAAACAUGUCGUCAGAUAAUGGGGAUUUACUUAGUCAAUAACUAUUAUCUGUGGAGUGAAGAAUUCCGUAUGCCUAUUUACAUAAUUAUUCUCUAAAUAAAGCCAAUCAACCUUUGCAUUUAGCUGUCGCCAAAAAUUAAAUUACGUCUUUAAAACUACCGAGGUUGAUGCGUAUGAAGUUAAUUACUUUAUCAUUUAAACCCGUUUUAUCAUUAAACCUGCUUUACCCCCAGGAAGAGAGGUAGCACAAGUUAAAUUCACCUGACACCUCGUGGCCCAAACAUUUAUCCUGUGUUUCAGCUUGUUGGCAGCACGCGCCAUCGGCCUGCAGGGGUCCCAGAGCGCAGCGCUGGCACGCGCGGGAUGCCUGUCAAUCUUCUGAAAGACAAGCAGCAAUGGAUCAUCUUAUUCUGUGUUUCUUCCCCCCUGUGAAUCAAGUCAGGAAACAGAUUCAGAAGUCCAGACUGAGAAGCAGGCCGGCUAACAUCAGCUUGAAGAGCCAGAAUACUGUGUCUCUCACAGGGAUCCUACACAAAUACUCUGAAUGAACGCAGUGGAAUAAUCUCCCCACUCAGACAGGGAACAGAAGCUUGUGUACAUCUGCAGACUGACGGCAGUUUUGUAUCUCAGUAAUAAAUGCUUUAAGCAGCAACAACAUUACAGAAAAAACAUGCCAGCAAAUGUAUUGUUUAUUUCUAACCAGCCUUUGACUUUCAAAGACCGUUAACAGAGGACCACCACCGUCAUUUUAUUCGCUUUUGUUAAUUUUUGUUGUCUACUGCCACCUUGUGGCUACACUGAGAAAACACUUCGAAAUACAACUACAUCUUGAGCGUGACUAAUAAAAACACUUUCCAAGUAUUCCUGCUGAAAAAAGUUUUCCAUGGUCGCGUUUUAAUCAGUAAAUGUCUAGUUUAAUCGAAGCCUGCUGUGCAUAAAUAGUUGAAUAGCACGUUGGAACAGCGGUAAACGCCGAGACAGAUGGGAAGUGGACUUUAUUGACGUGUGAUAAAACCGCGCUCUGGCGUUCCAGGACAGCCUGUUCACAGCUGGAAAUAGCGUCCAGACACGCGUGUGGACCGACCACUUCGGCGGGUCUGACCUUGAACCCAAAACCCACUGGUUUCCCACCUCGGAUCGAGCCGCCUUUCAUCUCCUGUCACCUUCCCCGGUCCAGGGCGCGGAGCGGACGUCUUGUUUUCUGCCCCUCACAGUAAAACACUGUGACCUCCCGUAAAUCACACCCCAUCAGGGCCUCCGGGGGACCAGCAGGUCCUUAAUAUUUACAUGUGCACAAAGCUGUCGAGAAAGACCCCUCGAAAUAACACAGCAACCACGGGUCCUACAAGGGACUCUUA